Stegostoma tigrinum is the source of this 887-nucleotide long non-coding RNA. RefSeq lists it as uncharacterized. The record is from RefSeq and is a predicted model, not a curated record. Lineage: Eukaryota; Metazoa; Chordata; Chondrichthyes; Orectolobiformes; Stegostomatidae. The transcript is spliced from 6 exons.
GAGGCUGAGGAAGGGCAGCUAGUUAGAACCGGUUCCCAGGCCGCGGGCAGUCGGAGAGAGAAGCAGUGUUGAGAGGUUCUGUUGACAUUGAUCGCAGUCUGAGAAUUUGCGCUUUCAGCUUAUUCCCGCCCGUUAAACUCUCCGCCAGUAUGCCACGCAAAGCGGUUGUGACUACAAAACCUGAAGAACUAAGGAGAUCAUCACGAACUAAGCGUACUAUCCAAACAGCAGCUCCAACCAAGAAGGCACCAGCCAAGAAAGCCAAGAAACAAAAGGUCACUAAAGGGAAGACGAGUGAUUCAAGCCAGGAAGCUAAUGCUGCCCCAGCUCAAAACGGGGAGAAUAAAGAGGCAUGAGAAUUGAAAAAUGCUGGUGGGCGAAAGUCUUGUCCAAGUCUGGAGAGUUUGCCAACCUCCUGUCACUUGUACAGUUGAAAGGAAUAUUUUUAUCAAUUUUUAUAAAUGCAACAUUUUUGUAGGUUGAGUGGGCAGAUGUUGCGGAUGCUUGCAGUGUGUUUUUAUUUUCUGGAGACUUCGUAUACUGACAUGAUGCACAUUGAAAGUGCUUGAAAUUAAACAUUUUUUUUGUUUUUCUCCCCCUUUGUAUCCCUAAAUGUGACUGUUUCCUACUUGUGCUGUCAGUUCAAGUUGUAUCUGUAAUGUCGGUAACUGUUAGUGGUAAUUCUUGCUGUCCAUGUGAAAUCAAAACUCAUGCUUGGCAAUUUCACAAGAGAAAAAUGGAACUUUUUUAAAAUGCUGUUUUAAAGUGAAAAUAUUCUUUGGAAUGUGUUUCAACAGACUCUUCUGACAUCAAUCCUAUUUUUGCUGAGUAUCAUGGAGUUUUAAAUUUGCUGCCCAAAUAAAGUUGAAUACUGUUGUGCUUGGGAA